This 447-nucleotide ribosomal RNA is filed under the name uncultured bacterium. RNAcentral's name for it is "partial 16S ribosomal RNA". It matches the Rfam family "Bacterial small subunit ribosomal RNA", at positions 29 to 523 of the family's 1533-position model. The record is from RNAcentral.
AACGAACGCUGGCGGCAGGCCUAACACAUGCAAGUCGAGCGCCCAGCAAUGGGAGCGGCAGACGGGUGAGUAACACGUGGGAACCUUCCCUAUAGUACGGAAUAUACCAGGGAAACUUGGAGCAAUACCGUAUACGCCCGAGAGGGGAAAGAUUUAUCGCUAUAGGAUGGGCCCGCGUUGGAUUAGCUAGUUGGUGAGGUAACGGCUCACCAAGGCAACGAUCCAUAGCUGGUUUGAGAGAAUGACCAGCCACACUGGGACUGAGACACGGCCCAGACUCCUACGGGAGGCAGCAGUGGGUAAUCUUGGACAAUGGGCGCAAGCCUGAUCUAGCCAUGCCGCGUGAGUGAUGAAGGCCUUAGGGUUGUAAAGCUCUUUUGCCGGGGACGAUAAUGACGGUACCCGGAGAAUAAGUCCCGGCUAACUUCGUGCCAGCAGCCGCAGUAA